UGAGAGGGCGACCGGCCACAUUGGGACUGAGAUACGGCCCAGACUCCUACGGGAGGCAGCAGUGGGGAAUAUUGCACAAUGGGCGCAAGCCUGAUGCAGCGACGCCGCGUGAGGGAUGGAGGCCUUCGGGUUGUAAACCUCUUUUAUCGGGGAGCAAGCGAGAGUGAGUUUACCCGUUGAAUAAGCACCGGCUAACUACGUG
Molecule: ribosomal RNA, 202 nt
Filed under: uncultured Bifidobacterium sp.
Lineage: Bacteria; Bacillati; Actinomycetota; Actinomycetes; Bifidobacteriales; Bifidobacteriaceae
Description: partial 16S ribosomal RNA
Rfam family: Bacterial small subunit ribosomal RNA
Source: RNAcentral